UGUGCCGCCGCGUGGGGGAAACCUCAUGAGGAAAGUCCGGGCUUCACAGGGCAGGAUAACGGGUAACGCCCGCCGGGGGAAACCCCAGGACAAGUGCAACAGAGAGAUACCGCCGCGCAGGCUCCUGCGCGGUAAGGGUGGAAAAGCGGAGAUAAGCGCCCGCUGUCGGCCGGGUAACCGGCUGUUCAUGUAAACUCUAUCCGAAGCAACACCCGACCGGAUCGCGGCUUUCGCCGCGGCGCUUGCCCGGCGCACAUCCGAGGAUGGUGGCAUGAGGCGCGCGGUAACGUGCGUCCACAGAUAGAUGGCGGCUCAGGCCUGCGCAAGCAGGCGGGACAGAACCCGGCUUACAGGCUC
Molecule: RNase P RNA, 357 nt
Filed under: human gut metagenome
Description: Bacterial RNase P class A
Rfam family: Bacterial RNase P class A
About the family: Ribonuclease P (RNase P) is a ubiquitous endoribonuclease, found in archaea, bacteria and eukarya as well as chloroplasts and mitochondria. Its best characterised activity is the generation of mature 5'-ends of tRNAs by cleaving the 5'-leader elements of precursor-tRNAs.
Source: RNAcentral